RNAcentral lists this ribosomal RNA (3073 nucleotides) under Campylobacter jejuni. Its description in RNAcentral is "23S ribosomal RNA". It matches the Rfam family "Bacterial large subunit ribosomal RNA". Lineage: Bacteria; Pseudomonadati; Campylobacterota; Epsilonproteobacteria; Campylobacterales; Campylobacteraceae. The record is from RNAcentral.
UAAAAAAAGGUAAGCUACUAAGAGCGAAUGGUGGAUGCCUUGACUGGUAAAGGCGAUGAAGGACGUACUAGACUGCGAUAAGCUACGGGGAGCUGUCAAGAAGCUUUGAUCCGUAGAUUUCCGAAUGGGGCAACCCAAUGUAUAGAGAUAUACAUUACCUAUAUAGGAGCGAACGAGGGGAAUUGAAACAUCUUAGUACCCUCAGGAAAAGAAAUCAAUAGAGAUUGCGUCAGUAGCGGCGAGCGAAAGCGCAAGAGGGCAAACCCAGUGCUUGCACUGGGGGUUGUAGGACUGCAAUGUGCAAGAGGUAAGUUUAGCAGAACAUUCUGGAAAGUAUAACCAUAGAGGGUGAUAGUCCCGUAUGCGAAAAACAAACCUUAGCUAGCAGUAUCCUGAGUAGGGCGGGACACGAGGAAUCCUGUCUGAAUCCGGGUCGACCACGAUCCAACCCUAAAUACUAAUACCAGAUCGAUAGUGCACAAGUACCGUGAGGGAAAGGUGAAAAGAACUGAGGUGAUCAGAGUGAAAUAGAACCUGAAACCAUUUGCUUACAAUCAUUCAGAGCCCUAUGUAGCAAUACAGGGUGAUGGACUGCCUUUUGCAUAAUGAGCCUGCGAGUUGUGGUGUCUGGCAAGGUUAAGCAAACGCGAAGCCGUAGCGAAAGCGAGUCUGAAUAGGGCGCUUAGUCAGAUGCUGCAGACCCGAAACGAAGUGAUCUAUCCAUGAGCAAGUUGAAGCUAGUGUAAGAACUAGUGGAGGACUGAACCCAUAGGCGUUGAAAAGCCCCGGGAUGACUUGUGGAUAGGGGUGAAAGGCCAAUCAAACUUCGUGAUAGCUGGUUCUCUCCGAAAUAUAUUUAGGUAUAGCGUUGUGUCGUAAUAUAAGGGGGUAGAGCACUGAAUGGGCUAGGGCAUACACCAAUGUACCAAACCCUAUCAAACUCCGAAUACCUUAUAUGUAAUCACAGCAGUCAGGCGGCGAGUGAUAAAAUCCGUCGUCAAGAGGGAAACAACCCAGACUACCAGCUAAGGUCCCUAAAUCUUACUUAAGUGGAAAACGAUGUGAAGUUACUUAAACAACCAGGAGGUUGGCUUAGAAGCAGCCAUCCUUUAAAGAAAGCGUAAUAGCUCACUGGUCUAGUGAUUUUGCGCGGAAAAUAUAACGGGGCUAAAGUAAGUACCGAAGCUGUAGACUUGCACACAACUUAGAUUAUUUAAGUUUAGAAUAUGAGAAACUAAGUUAUAUGUUUAGUUAUAUUUUUACUGAUUUUUAUAGAGUAAAGAUAGAAAUAAAACUUAGUAAAAUCAGUAAAAAUAUUCUUAGACUAAAGUUAAGUAGUUUAAGUUGUGUGCAAGUGGUAGGAGAGCGUUCUAUUUGCGUCGAAGGUAUACCGGUAAGGAGUGCUGGAGCGAAUAGAAGUGAGCAUGCAGGCAUGAGUAGCGAUAAUUAAUGUGAGAAUCAUUAACGCCGUAAACCCAAGGUUUCCUACGCGAUGCUCGUCAUCGUAGGGUUAGUCGGGUCCUAAGUCGAGUCCGAAAGGGGUAGACGAUGGCAAAUUGGUUAAUAUUCCAAUACCAACAUUAGUGUGCGAUGGAAGGACGCUUAGGGCUAAGGGGGCUAGCGGAUGGAAGUGCUAGUCUAAGGUCGUAGGAGGUUAUACAGGCAAAUCCGUAUAACAAUACUCCGAGAACUGAAAGGCUUUUUGAAGUCUUCGGAUGGAUAGAAGAACCCCUGAUGCCGUCGAGCCAAGAAAAGUUUCUAAGUUUAGCUAAUGUUGCCCGUACCGUAAACCGACACAGGUGGGUGGGAUGAGUAUUCUAAGGCGCGUGGAAGAACUCUCUUUAAGGAACUCUGCAAAAUAGCACCGUAUCUUCGGUAUAAGGUGUGGUUAGCUUUGUAUUAGGAUUUACUCCGAAAGCAAGGAAACUUACAACAAAGAGUCCCUCCCGACUGUUUACCAAAAACACAGCACUCUGCUAACUCGUAAGAGGAUGUAUAGGGUGUGACGCCUGCCCGGUGCUCGAAGGUUAAUUGAUGGGGUUAGCAUUAGCGAAGCUCUUGAUCGAAGCCCGAGUAAACGGCGGCCGUAACUAUAACGGUCCUAAGGUAGCGAAAUUCCUUGUCGGUUAAAUACCGACCUGCAUGAAUGGCGUAACGAGAUGGGAGCUGUCUCAAAGAGGGAUCCAGUGAAAUUGUAGUGGAGGUGAAAAUUCCUCCUACCCGCGGCAAGACGGAAAGACCCCGUGGACCUUUACUACAGCUUGACACUGCUACUUGGAUAAGAAUGUGCAGGAUAGGUGGGAGGCUUUGAGUAUAUGACGCCAGUUGUAUAUGAGCCAUUGUUGAGAUACCACUCUUUCUUAUUUGGGUAGCUAACCAGCUUGAGUUAUCCUCAAGUGGGACAAUGUCUGGUGGGUAGUUUGACUGGGGCGGUCGCCUCCCAAAUAAUAACGGAGGCUUACAAAGGUUGGCUCAGAACGGUUGGAAAUCGUUCGUAGAGUAUAAAGGUAUAAGCCAGCUUAACUGCAAGACAUACAAGUCAAGCAGAGACGAAAGUCGGUCUUAGUGAUCCGGUGGUUCUGUGUGGAAGGGCCAUCGCUCAAAGGAUAAAAGGUACCCCGGGGAUAACAGGCUGAUCUCCCCCAAGAGCUCACAUCGACGGGGAGGUUUGGCACCUCGAUGUCGGCUCAUCGCAUCCUGGGGCUGGAGCAAGUCCCAAGGGUAUGGCUGUUCGCCAUUUAAAGCGGUACGCGAGCUGGGUUCAGAACGUCGUGAGACAGUUCGGUCCCUAUCUGCCGUGGGCGUAAGAAGAUUGAAGAGAUUUGACCCUAGUACGAGAGGACCGGGUUGAACAAACCACUGGUGUAGCUGUUGUUCUGCCAAGAGCAUCGCAGCGUAGCUAAGUUUGGAAAGGAUAAACGCUGAAAGCAUCUAAGCGUGAAGCCAACUCUAAGAUGAAUCUUCUCUAAGCUCUCUAGAAGACUACUAGUUUGAUAGGCUGGGUGUGUAAUGGAUGAAAGUCCUUUAGCUGACCAGUACUAAUAGAGCGUUUGGCUUAUCUUUAAUAAAGCAU